CUACGCACUCCUACGGGAGGCAGCAGUGGGAAUAUUGCACAAUGGGCGCAAGCCUGAUGCAGCCAUGCCGCGUGUAUGAAGAAGGCCUUCGGGUUGUAAAGUACUUUCAGCAGUGAGGAAGGUGGAUAUGUUAAUAGCAUAUUCAUUUGACGUUUAGCUGCAGAAGAAGCACCGGCUAACUCCGUGCCAGCAGCCGCGGUAAUACGGAGGGUGCGAGCGUUAAUCGGAAUUACUGGGCGUAAAGCGCAUGCAGGUGGUUUGUUAAGUCAGAUGUGAAAGCCCGGGGCUCAACCUCGGAAUUGCAUUUGAAACUGGCAAACUAGAGUACUGUAGAGGGGGUAGAAUUUCAGGUGUAGCGGUGAAAUGCGUAGAGAUCUGAAGGAAUACCGGUGGCGAAGGCGGCCCCCUGGACAGAUACUGACACUCAGAUGCGAAAGCGUGGGGAGCAAACAGGAUUAGAUACCCUGGUAG
This 471-nucleotide ribosomal RNA is filed under the name uncultured bacterium. RNAcentral's name for it is "bacterial SSU rRNA". It matches the Rfam family "Bacterial small subunit ribosomal RNA", at positions 329 to 793 of the family's 1533-position model. The record is from RNAcentral.